Molecule: ribosomal RNA, 492 nt
Filed under: uncultured bacterium
Lineage: Bacteria
Description: partial 16S ribosomal RNA
Rfam family: Bacterial small subunit ribosomal RNA
Source: RNAcentral
AUUGAACGCUGGCGGUAGGCCUAACACAUGCAAGUCGAACGGCAGCAGAGUAAGAGCUUGCUGUUACGGGGGGCGAGGGGCGGGCGGUGGAUGAAUACAUCGGAAUCUACUGUUGCGUGCGUGCUGACGUAGGGGAUCUUACGCUAAUAGCGCAGACGACCUACGGGUGAAAGCAUCGGAUCUUCGGACCUUGCGCGAGUGAAUGAGCCGAUGUCGGAUUAGCGAGUUGGCGGGGUAAAGGCCCACCAAGGCGACGAUCCGUAGCUGGUCUGAGAGGAUGAUCAGCCACACUGGAACUGAGACACGGUCCAGACUCCUACGGGAGGCAGCAGUGGGGAAUAUUGGACAAUGGGCGCAAGCCUGAUCCAGCCAUGCCGCGUGGGUGAAGAAGGUCUUCGGAUUGUAAAGCCCUUUUGUUGGGAAAGAAAAGCAGCAAGUUAAUACCUCGCUGUUCUGACGGUACCAACAGAAUAAGCACCGGCUAACUUCGUG